RNAcentral lists this transfer RNA (70 nucleotides) under Cynoglossus sinicus. RNAcentral describes it as "tRNA-Ile". Lineage: Eukaryota; Metazoa; Chordata; Actinopteri; Pleuronectiformes; Cynoglossidae. The record is from RNAcentral.
GAAGCUGUGUCCGAAUUUAAGAGCCACUUUGAUAGGGUGGAAUAUGAAGGUGAAAACCCCUCCAGCUUCU